CCCAAGCCAACCAAUAGCAGUAUGGACUUGGGAUAGUAACCAAUUACACUGCAUAUCCCAAGCCAGCCAGUAGCAGCAUGGACUUGGAAUAGAACCAAUUACACUACAUAUCCCAAGUCAACCAAUAGCAGUAUGGAUUUGGGAUAGUAACCAAUUACACUCGAUAUCCCAAGCCAACCAAUAGCAGUAUGGACUUGGGAUAGUAACCAAUUACACUAGAUAUCCCAAGCCAACCAAUAGCAGCAUGGACUUGGGAUAGUAACCAAUCACACUACAUAUCCCAAGUCAACCAAUAGCAGUAUGGACGUGGGCUAGUAACCAAUUACACUACAUAUCCCAAGCCAACCAAUAGCAGCAUGGACUUGGGAUAGUAACCAAUCACACUACAUAUCCCAAGUCAACCAAUAGCAGUAUGGACGUGGGCUAGUAACCAAUUACACUACAUAUCCCAAGCCAACCAAUAGCAGUAUGGACGUGGGCUAGUAACCAAUUACACUACAUAUCCCAAGCCAACCAAUAGCAGUAUGGACUUGGGAUAGUAACCAAUUACACUACAUAUCCCAAGCCAACCAAUAGCAGUAUGGAUUUGGGAUAGUAACCAAUUACACUACAUAUCCCAAGCCAACCAAUAGCAGUAUGGGCUUGGGAUAGUAACCAAUUACACUACAUAUCCCAAGCCAACCAAUAGCAGUAUGGACUUGGGAUAGUAACCAAUUACACUACAUAUCCCAAGCCAACCAAUAGCAGUAUGGGCUUGGGAUAGUAACCAAUUACACUGCAUAUCCCAAGCCAACCAAUAGCAGUAUGGGCUUGGGAUAGUAACCAAUUACACUACAUAUCCCAAGCCAACCAAUAGCAGCAUGGACUUGGGAUAGUAACCAAUCACACUACAUAUCCCAAGCCAACCAAUAGCCGUAUGGAUUGGGAUAGUAACAAAUUACACUCGAUAUCCCAAGCCAACCAAUAGCAGUAUGGAC
Non-coding RNA from Pelobates cultripes (western spadefoot toad), 977 nucleotides. The record is from the annotation of a GenBank genome assembly. Lineage: Eukaryota; Metazoa; Chordata; Amphibia; Anura; Pelobatidae.